This is a non-coding RNA of Caenorhabditis elegans, 216 nucleotides long. NCBI's taxonomy places the organism in Eukaryota, Metazoa, Nematoda, Chromadorea, Rhabditida, Rhabditidae. The record is from Ensembl.
AUUAUUGUGCUUACCCGCACCCCGUUGCUUUCCAGUACAGUACAAACAAAAACAUUUGGGUGCCAAUGGACACGGUAAACACACGUGAAUCCACACGUUGCGUAUUCCGGAUCGUCUUUCAUGUUGUUUCCAGUCUGCCUGUGUUGGCCUGACAGACUCAGUUACACCAAGACAAUCCAAUGACCAAAGAGUUAGAGAGUGUGUGAGAGGAAGAGA